CAAGAUUGGAGUAAGAAUAGCUACCACAGGAACCAACACAGAAGAAGAGAAUACCUCGCAUGCAGGAUCAAAGGCCAUGGUGGAAGGUCAACACCAAAAAUCCCUUUUUGCAUCUGUAGCCAAACCCCCAACAGACAGUGGCAGGCCAAGCAGUAUGGUUGUGAAGAAAGCACAUACCUUAAUUCCUGCAUACGUUGUAGCAGAAGCCAUAUCAACAAUUCAAGGUCUUGACCUCAGAUGGUCAGGUCCGAUAACUCCAUCAGAAAUGCAAUAUGUUGAGCAAUAUGUCUUGGCAAAGUACCCC
This 304-nucleotide unclassified non-coding RNA is filed under the name Hevea brasiliensis (rubber tree). The record is from RNAcentral. Lineage: Eukaryota; Viridiplantae; Streptophyta; Magnoliopsida; Malpighiales; Euphorbiaceae.